Xyrauchen texanus (razorback sucker) is the source of this 842-nucleotide long non-coding RNA. RefSeq lists it as uncharacterized. NCBI's taxonomy places the organism in Eukaryota, Metazoa, Chordata, Actinopteri, Cypriniformes, Catostomidae. The transcript has 5 exons. The record is from RefSeq and is a predicted model, not a curated record.
CACAAACAACAACAAUGCCAUGCUGCUGUAGCUUCAGCUGAAAAUUUAAAUAGCUGCUAUUUGAAAUAGUCGUCCAAAAUGUCGGCAAAGAAUGAACUACAGUUACCACCGCUGUCAUACUCUGAAACACACCUGCAUGAACAGAUCAGGGAUCUGCUACCUUUGCGGGCAAAAUUAGUGCUGGUGUCAGGACAAUGUGAGAAGAGGAUUCUGGAUCUAAAGGUACAAGAGAGGGAUAAGGUCAGUGCUCUGAAGCAAGAGUAUCAAUGUCUGCAGAGCAUCAUCGAGAGUACGAGAGGACAACAGAGUACCCUGCAGAUUCAGGUCAAUCCAGCUAAAAUAAGUUGGAGAUCUUUCUGCAGGAGCAGAAUGGACAGGUCAUAGAUCAAAAUGAGUUCUACACUGGGCUUGGCACAUAUAAUGAUGUCCCCAUUUAUCAACGCUAUGAGGGGAAACUUAAGAAUCUUAAGCUCAAGAAAGCUGAUGUAGUUAGAGUAAUCAAGGAUAUCUGGAGGGACAAAACUGCAGAGAAUGAGAAGAGUGAUGGCUGCAGAGACCUGAAGGUUUUACUCUACUAUCUUGUGGAACAGUAUAAGGAGAAGGCAUGAGCGUGGGCUUACAGCUUGAUGGAAAGCAUCAAAAACAAUCUUGAAGAUGAUCUGUCUUUUCAAUGACACUUUUUUUUUUUUUUUUGUCAUGUCUAUAGCUAACCUGAACAUGUAAGUCCAUAAAAGCAGGUUUUGCAGGUUAUGUAGGACCCCCAUAUAUUAAAUGGUACAUGGUGUGCAAUUAUAUUGCGCCUUUUUAACCUUUGCGGUAUUCAAAGCACUUUACACUGCGUC